RNAcentral lists this unclassified non-coding RNA (1184 nucleotides) under Hevea brasiliensis (rubber tree). The record is from RNAcentral. Lineage: Eukaryota; Viridiplantae; Streptophyta; Magnoliopsida; Malpighiales; Euphorbiaceae.
UUCAAUUCCCUUUACCCAUGCAGUCAUAUAAGAACUUCAUUUGAAAUGUUUCAGCUCUCCAUGUAAACACAAAGCUUUGGAAGUGUAAUCAAUGGCUCAAAAUCUCAGUUCACAAGUAGCUUUCUUGUUCAUCUUCUUCGCUAUUGCUUCAGGGCAAAAUACUUCCACAACUACAAAAACUUUCACCUUGUUUAACAACUGCAAAGGGACAAUAUGGCCUGGAAUAAUAACAAAAGAUGGCAGCAAUCGUGGGGAUGGUUUUGCCCUGAAGGCAGGCCAUACUGCCUCCUACAGUGCCCCAACUGGCUGGAGUGGCCGGAUAUGGGCUCGAACCGGCUGCAAUUUUGAUAACGAUGGUAACGGAAAAUGCCAAACAGGCAGCUGUGGAGACUCUCUACAUUGUUCAGGCCCAAGUAGUCCACCCAACACAAUUGCAGAAUUUACCCUCGGAGAUACCGAUUUUUACGAUGUUAGCCUUGUGGAUGGUUUCAAUUUGCCUAUAGGAGUUUCACCACUCAACGGUAAAGGGAAUUGUAGCAUAGCUGGUUGUGAUGAAGAUCUUCGGAAUAAUUGCCCGGCGCAACUCUCCGUCAAGUCUGAGGGAAAGGUCAUUGCUUGCCGGAGCGCCUGCGAUGCAUUUAACACUGAUGAGUACUGCUGUAGAGGAGCAUAUAGCGAUCCUGUUGCAUGUGUAUCCUCAAAUUAUUCCAAAGUUUUUAAGCAAGCAUGCCCAGCAGCAUCUAGCUAUGCAUUUGAUAAGGAUUCAACAAGUAUCAUAACAUGUUCUGCAUCAGAUUAUGUUGUAAGCUUCUGUGCAUCAAGGAGUCAAACUUUCUGCUCUUACCAUGACAAUAAGGUGGUAUGCAAUACAAGAAAUGCCUCAAAAGCACUACUACCCCAUGGAUGGUGGAAUCUGAUGGUGACAUUGCCUUUGGCAUUUAUUUUGCAAAUCAAGAUUUAGCAGUAUCUGUAAUUCUGUAUACUGUGUGAUUCAUUUUUGAACUGAAAAUUGGAGUUUCCCCAUAUAUGGCUUUUCACCAUAAGAACCUUUUCUUUCCUACUCUCUUUUAUCUUUGUUUAAUAUUUGUAAUUUCAAAACUGCACAAAUGUCUUGGAACUUUGAAGUGAUAUAUUUUAUGUGGCUUGAAAUUUGUAUAUGUCUUUAUAGAUUCAAUUUUUUACUA